Molecule: long non-coding RNA, 290 nt
Organism: Ornithodoros turicata
Lineage: Eukaryota; Metazoa; Arthropoda; Arachnida; Ixodida; Argasidae
Exons: 3
Source: RefSeq, a predicted model, not a curated record
AAAGCAUUGAUGAUAGCGGUGUUGACGUCGCAUAAAGGAUGCUGGAACAAUGGCCUACUCUGCGUGGGAGGUUUUAGAGGGGAAACAUCCCAUGCGGACUUCCUCGCAACCUGCCUCCGGAAUCUAUCUUUGCCUUUGGCAACAGCACGUGUGGUUGCAACGGAUUCAGAGAAAAGAAUAUAGCACAGGAAGGGCAGCUUCGUCAUCGUGAUCUGGGCCGAUGAACUAGCGAACUCCGGUGGUGGUGGUGAUGCCGAUGAACUCAGACUACCAGGGUUGUCAACGUCACU